Molecule: long non-coding RNA, 1929 nt
Filed under: Actinia tenebrosa (Australian red waratah sea anemone)
Lineage: Eukaryota; Metazoa; Cnidaria; Anthozoa; Actiniaria; Actiniidae
Description: uncharacterized LOC116287869
Source: RNAcentral
GUGCAAACAAUAUAACAGUAAAACUUUAGUAAUACUAAAUAGCACAAUUUCAUGCAAAUUCCAAUUAUUCUAUUGUUUUAUUAGCACUAUUUUGUACUAUUUAGUAAAAAGUGUUUCACGGAUUAAUUGUUUGCACUCUAGUAAUGGAAUCACGCAAGUGAACAUCAAAAGAAAGCUCGGGCUGCCAUUGAAGCGUAAAAACAGUCACUUCAAAUAAUGUUCCUGAUCUGUUCCUGAUAUUUCAGGGUGUGCUUACGUGAAGAUUGUCGGUGAUUGUUCUAUCAAUAAUAUUACAAUAAUCAAGUUAAUAAGAUUGAAAUCAUUUCCAAGAACAACAAGAAUAACAAGAAACCUUCUGCCAUGCUGGUUGACGAACUAAAAGGAACGAAAAUGCUUUGAUAACCUCAACCAAUAUGGCGGCUAUGACGUCAACAAGAUGGCUGCUAUGACGUCAUAUACAAAGCCAUGUUAACUGGGUUUGUUCCUCUCUUUACCCCACCAGGUGUAGAGUUAUUCACUACCGUAAAAAAUAUCAUAAUUUCCAGGGUUUGCGGACUUAGUCUCUAAUCAGGGAGUUGCUUGUUUUGUCAUUAUAAUUUCUGCUUUUGUUUUCUAUUUCAAAAGUAUCCGAGCUACCCGUACAUUCUAAAAACUGUGGUAUUUCAGUUUAAGAUGACAGACUAAGGCCCCAUUUACACGAAGCCGGAUAUUUAUUUAUCCGGGUAAAAAAAUGUGCGUUUACAUACGGCUUCGUGUAAACGCUCAUCGUUUUCGCAUCGUUUUUGACCGUUUACACGAAAACGCUCCAUCGACUCGAAAACGCUCAUAGGAGCUAAAUGAGCAUGCGCAUAGUUCCUGAGCCUGCGAUCUCCCUUGUUUAGUGACGUCAGCGUUCAUAUCCGGCUUCGAGUGUUUAAACGGAAACGCAUAGCCAGCGUUUUCAAAAAUAUCCGGCUUCGUGUAAACGGGGCCUAAGACUGGCAGGUCGCGAUUGUGAGAAAAUAAAAAUUCCUAGCAGUGGGCUCCUGGCUAGCAAUAAACCUCUUUAACAUGACCGUAAUGUUCUCCCACUUUAGACCACGUGUCAUUCUCUUGAGAACAAGAUUCUUCGUUUGAGUUGUAUCCAUAUUCAUGUGUCUUCUCAUGUGCAAUAGUUAAACAAAGUAAUGAUACUCUUGGGAAUGACACGUGGUCAGAAAUGGGCAAAACAUUACGCCGGAGGUAAAGAGGCCUAUUGUUGUACUGGCUCAUACACCAAACAAAGUAGAUGGAUACUCCAAUUCUAGAGUAACUCCUGCAUUAGCGAACAUCAGUAAGCAUUAGUGCUGUAUCCAACUUACCCAGUGAUCAGUCCAGAUAUUCAUGAUGACAGCGGGACCCAUGGAUCGUGCCGGAUUGAUUCCACAACCAGUAAAACGAAUCUAAAAGAUAAAACAGUUAGGCCAUGAUGCCUUCCAUAAGUCUGGCUUACAUUUGUGUCUCAAGCAUAAUCAUAGCAACAGCGCGCAAGUGCAGAUGAUACUUCAAGCGACUGCAAAAAGAAGGAUGGGACUUUACUCAUCUACUUUACUCACCCCAACCANAUGACAGACAGUCACACAAAAUCCAAUAGCCAAAGGGACCUCAUAGCCAUAAUGUUGACGCCUGGGAUCAGUACAGGCAAACACCGUCAACACCAACAAGAAUGUUAACACGAAUUCGAUCCCAACAGCCUGACCUGUAGAGACACCUNNUGAUGGGACUGUAGCUCCUAGAGUUCCUCGCUUACUUGACGGUGUAAGGCCAUAGAGCAUAGCUGAUCCUGCUAUACCUAGAAUGAUAGUAUACAAUAGUCAACCCUCACAGGAUUCGGUAGCCGACAGUGUACAUAUUUCAAGCAUAGCAACGGUAAUAUAUUUAUUGACGAUGAAUAAACACCGAUUUCAACUA